GAAACGGAGAAAGAGCGUGCUGCAUGGGAGAUUGGUCAACUCGCUGUUUAAUUUUGCAGAGUGAUGGGGAACGCAUCACUGCUGAUAAGAACCAUCUCAGAGCUUCAUCAACCACGUGCUGCUUUCUCUGAAACAUUGCCAUUGUGACUCAGGAGCUUCUAGUCUAAAACGAAAAUAAAACAGUAAUGGGGAUGUGGAACCUGGUUCUUGGUUCAAUCUCUCUGUCUUCAAGAUUUACGGAUCCUUACAGCAAGAUUCCACAAGAGCCUUUACAGAAAGAAGCACAUAUGGAAGACAUCACUAAGAAUAAAGAGAUUGAAUUAUCAGAAUAACCUACCACACAUGAGCUAGAAAGCAAUG
RNAcentral lists this long non-coding RNA (360 nucleotides) under Equus caballus (horse). RNAcentral's name for it is "lncRNA (ENSECAG00000057456.1)". The record is from RNAcentral. Lineage: Eukaryota; Metazoa; Chordata; Mammalia; Perissodactyla; Equidae.